GACGUAGGGCGCGAGCGUUGUCCGGAUUUAUUGGGCGUAAAGAGCUCGUAGGCGGCUUGUUGCGUCGGCUGUGAAAACCCAUGGCUCAACCGUGGGCUUGCAGCCGAUACGGGCAGGCUAGAGUUCGGUAGGGGAGACUGGAAUUCCUGGUGUAGCGGUGAAAUGCGCAGAUAUCAGGAGGAACACCGGUGGCGAAGGCGAGUCUCUGGACAUUUCCUGACGCUGAGGCACGAAAGCCAGGGGAGCAAACGGG
RNAcentral lists this ribosomal RNA (253 nucleotides) under uncultured bacterium. RNAcentral describes it as "partial 16S ribosomal RNA". It matches the Rfam family "Bacterial small subunit ribosomal RNA", at positions 524 to 776 of the family's 1533-position model. The record is from RNAcentral.